GGGCCCGCACAAGCAGUGGAUUAUGUGGUUUAAUUCGAAGCAACGCGAAGAACCUUACCAGGUCUUGACAUACCACGAGUAGCAUAGAGAUAUGUGAUGCCCUUCGGGGCGUGGAUACAGGUGGUGCAUGGUUGUCGUCAGCUCGUGUCGUGAGAUGUUGGGUUAAGUCCCGCAACGAGCGCAACCCUUACUAUUAGUUGCUACGCAAGAGCACUCUAAUGGGACUGCCGUUGACAAAACGGAGGAAGGUGGGGAUGAUGUCAAAUCAUCAUGCCCUUUAUGACCUGGGCUACACACGUAAUACAAUGGCACUCAAACAGAGGGAAGCAAAGCCGCGAGGUUGAGCAAAUCCCAAAAAAGUGUCUCAGUUCGGAUUGCAGGCUGCAACUCGCCUGCAUGAAGUCGGAAUUGCUAGUAAUCGCGGAUCAGCACGCCGCGGUGAAUACG
Molecule: ribosomal RNA, 447 nt
Filed under: uncultured Eubacteriales bacterium
Lineage: Bacteria; Bacillati; Bacillota; Clostridia; Eubacteriales
Description: bacterial SSU rRNA
Rfam family: Bacterial small subunit ribosomal RNA
Source: RNAcentral